RNAcentral lists this long non-coding RNA (548 nucleotides) under Gallus gallus (chicken). Lineage: Eukaryota; Metazoa; Chordata; Aves; Galliformes; Phasianidae. The record is from RNAcentral.
GGGGGGGGGGUAAUAAUCUGCCCCCCCCCCCACCUUUACUUUUAUUAUCCAAAGAUUGAAGGCUGAGGGGGGGGUAAUCACCGCCCCCCCCCCAGUUCAUUUGUAUUAUCCAAAGACUGAGAGCGGUUCUGCGGUUCUGCUCAGUGCAGCUCAAGGAGGGGGUGGUCUCAUUUUGGGGCCUUUUUGCCCUUCUUUUUGGGGGGGGGCGGAGGGGCGGCCCCCACCAUCGUCAGCUUUUUGGGGAGGGCAGCGGAGGCCUUCAGGGCGACCUCCCGUUCAAUGCGGAGCCGAAUGCCGACCUCCAACGUCUUCUUCAGCUUCUGCUGUUGGAUCACACGCAGCUUCUUGGGGCGAUGACCCGGCCUCCUUUCCUCGGCCCCUUCGCCCCCCCCCUUUCCGCCGCCGCCGCUCUCCGCGGUUUCUUCUCCGCCGCUUUCGGUCUCCCUUGCGCCAUGACAGCACUUCCGGUUUGGCGAAGAGGAAGCGGAAGCAGGGACAUUUGAACAGGAAGCGUAAGGCACGACGGGAUGCAGCGAGGCGGAAGUGGG